This 64-nucleotide transfer RNA is filed under the name Pseudoneureclipsis sibuyana. RNAcentral describes it as "tRNA-Asp". Lineage: Eukaryota; Metazoa; Arthropoda; Insecta; Trichoptera; Polycentropodidae. The record is from RNAcentral.
AAAGAAUUAGUUAAAUUAUAACCUAAACUUGUCAAGUUUAAAUCAAUACUAAUAUUAUUCUUUU